Long non-coding RNA from Quercus robur (English oak), 380 nucleotides. RefSeq lists it as uncharacterized. The transcript is spliced from 3 exons. The record is from RefSeq and is a predicted model, not a curated record. Lineage: Eukaryota; Viridiplantae; Streptophyta; Magnoliopsida; Fagales; Fagaceae.
CCACAAAUAUAUAACAUAAUCGGAAAUGUCGAGACCCGAAGUACAAGCAAUACACAAUAACCCAUUGCAGGAACCGACUAUUUGGAUAGACCCAGAAGGCAAAUCAAAGGGAACUUCGAUCUCAGAAAUCCUAUCAAAGGUGCGGUCAAAAGCGACCGUACAAACUGCUCUGUUAGAAGAAUUUGUAUUCCAUGGCAUGUGUAUGAUAUAACCAUCACCAUUAUCAUUAUCAUGAUCAUGAGCAAAGUUAUUGAGGUGAGUUGAGAUGAAAUUGGGGGUGGUGAUUGAGGAGUCCCAGGUUUUGCAAACGCACCUGAAUCUUAUGACUGAUUUGGCAGGUAGCCUUGUCAGGAUGUUGAGUACGAUGUCGUCUGGGAGAU